AAGUCGUAACAAGGUUUCCGUAGGUGAACCUGCGGAAGGAUCAUUAACAAAUUUGUAUAUUUAUCAGUGGGCACAGUGUGUGUAGUGGUGUGAAAGCGCUCUGCACACAAGUAACUAGCAAUGUAGUGGGCGUUAUACGUAAAAUGAUACAAAACUUUUAACAAUGGAUCUCUUGGCUCUC
This 181-nucleotide unclassified non-coding RNA is filed under the name Rozellomycota sp. RNAcentral describes it as "Cryptomycota sp. partial contains small subunit ribosomal RNA, internal transcribed spacer 1, and 5.8S ribosomal RNA". The stretch from base 1 to 46 matches the Rfam family "Eukaryotic small subunit ribosomal RNA", at positions 1786 to 1831 of the family's 1831-position model. The record is from RNAcentral. Lineage: Eukaryota; Fungi; Rozellomycota.